This 497-nucleotide ribosomal RNA is filed under the name uncultured bacterium. RNAcentral's name for it is "partial 16S ribosomal RNA". It matches the Rfam family "Bacterial small subunit ribosomal RNA", at positions 28 to 507 of the family's 1533-position model. The record is from RNAcentral.
GAUGAACGCUGGCGGCGUGCCUAAUACAUGCAAGUCGAGCGAACAGACGAGGAGCUUGCUCCUCUGACGUUAGCGGCGGACGGGUGAGUAACACGUGGAUAACCUACCUAUAAGACUGGGAUAACUUCGGGAAACCGGAGCUAAUACCGGAUAAUUUAUUGAACCGCAUGGUUCAUUAGUUAAAGACGGUUUUGCUGUCACUUAUAGAUGUAUCCGCGCCGCAUUAGCUAGUUGGUAAGGUAACGGCUUACCAAGGCAACGAUGCGUAGCCGACCUGAGAGGGUGAUCGGCCACACUGGAACUGAGACACGGUCCAGAAUCCUACGGGAGGCAGCAGUAGGGAAUCUUCCGCAAUGGGCGAAAGCCUGACGGAGCAACGCCGCGUGAGUGAUGAAGGUCUUCGGAUCGUAAAACUCUGUUAUUAGGGAAGAACAAAUGUGUAAGUAACUAUGCACGUCUUGACGGUACCUAAUCAGAAAGCCACGGCUAACUACGUG